GAUGAACGCUGGCGGCGUGCCUAAUACAUGCAAGUCGAGCGAACAGACGAGGAGCUUGCUCCUCUGACGUUAGCGGCGGACGGGUGAGUAACACGUGGAUAACCUACCUAUAAGACUGGGAUAACUUCGGGAAACCGGAGCUAAUACCGGAUAAUAUAUUGAACCGCAUGGUUCAAUAGUGAAAGACGGUUUUGCUGUCACUUAUAGAUGGAUCCGCGCCGCAUUAGCUAGUUGGUAAGGUAACGGCUUACCAAGGCAACGAUGCGUAGCCGACCUGAGAGGGUGAUCGGCCACACUGGAACUGAGACACGGUCAAGACUCCUACGGGAGGCAGCAGUAGGGAAUCUUCCGCAAUGGGCGAAAGCCUGACGGAGCAACGCCGCGUGAGUGAUGAAGGUCUUCGGAUCGUGAAACUCUGUUAUUAGGGAAGAACAAAUGUGUAAGUAACUAUGCACGUCUUGACGGUACCUAAUCAGAAAGCCACGGCUAACUACGUG
Molecule: ribosomal RNA, 497 nt
Filed under: uncultured bacterium
Lineage: Bacteria
Description: partial 16S ribosomal RNA
Rfam family: Bacterial small subunit ribosomal RNA
Source: RNAcentral